Molecule: long non-coding RNA, 1908 nt
Organism: Acipenser ruthenus (sterlet)
Lineage: Eukaryota; Metazoa; Chordata; Actinopteri; Acipenseriformes; Acipenseridae
Exons: 2
Source: RefSeq, a predicted model, not a curated record
AGGAGAUAGAGGAGAGAGGGGAAGAGGAGAGUGUUUUGUUUUCUGUUUAAACCUUUUAUUUGCAAUAAACCAGCACAAGCAAGCGCCUUCACCAUUUCACCUUGCAGUACUGUGUGUUUCUUCCGGGUCUGACAUCACCACUACAAGCCAUCCUGUGACAGGGUGUCAGUGUGUGUGUAUCAGUGGUAAUGUCGAGGGCUGCACUCUGCAUUGAUUUUGUAUUGACUCUGUACUGACUCUGUAUUGAUUCUCAGUGGUAAUAUUGAGGGGCUGGAGUGUGAGAAGGCAGGGCGCCCAGGCGGGGGCGCUGUGGAGAGACUCGCUCGAUCACUGAGCAGACGACUCAACAGCAGGAAGAACCAGAAUGACACAAUCACCCUGACCAGGAGAGAGGAGUGAGACAGGGAGUGAGACACAGUGAGGUUUUGAAAUUGCAGAUGACUGGAGUUUGUGGCAGUCUGACCUCCUGUGUGACAUCAUCGCUAGAGAGAUUCCGGCUCUCCGAUCAUUCCAUUGAGUUUCACUUGAACGUUCUGAGGGCAUUUAUUGACAUUUGAAUGUGCUACUUUACACCAGACCGGGUCAACCACACUCACAAUCACAGUGAGAUCUCCUUCUAUUACAAUGAUCAUUACAAUUAGUUACAGUUCUGGCUGCAGUAUUUCCAAUUCUAAUUAUAAUGACACUAAAAACUGACACAAAGAGCUCCUCAUAGUAUUGUACCAGCAGGACCCACAGGUACAGAGACACACACACACUGGAGAACUUUAUAUUGUUUUAAACAAGCAGGAUCCACUGAAAGUGUUUGAAAACACAAGAAUAAUGAUCGAAUGAAAAAUAAAUGAACUCCAUCAGUUAUAUGUGUCAUUACAAUUACAUUUGAACUGCAAUUACAAUGCAUUACCAAUCACACAGUUACACUUAGAAUCACCAUGCAUUACCAAUCAAUCACACAGUUACACUCAGAAUCACAAUGCAUUACCAAUCAAUCACACAGUUACACUUAGAAUCACAAUGCAUUACCAAUCAAUCACACAGUUACACUUAGAAUCACAAUGCAUUACCAAUCAAUCACACAGUUACACUUAGAAUCACAAUGCAUUACCAAUCAAUCACACAGUUACACUUAGAAUCACAAUGCAUUACCAAUCAAUCACACAGUUACACUUAGAAUCACAAUGCAUUACCAAUCAAUCACACAGUUACACUUAGAAUCACAAUGCAUUACCAAUCAAUCACACAGUUACACUUAGAAUCACAAUGCAUUACCAAUCAAUCACACAGUUACACUUAGAAUCACAAUGCAUUACCAAUCAAUCACACAGUUACACUUAGAAUCACAAUGCAUUACCAAUCACACAGUUACACUUAGAAUCACAAUGCAUUACCAAUCACACAGUUACACUUAGAAUCACAAUGCAUUACCAAUCACACAGUUACACUUAGAAUCACCAUGCAUUACCAAUCAAUCACACAGUUACACUUAGAAUCACAAUGCAUUACCAAUCAAUCACACAGUUACACUUAGAAUCACAAUGCAUUACCAAUCAAUCACACAGUUACACUUAGAAUCACAAUGCAUUACCAAUCAAUCACACAGUUACACUUAGAAUCACAAUGCAUUACCAAUCACACAGUUACACUUAGAAUCACAAUGCAUUACCAAUCACACAGUUACACUUAGAAUCACAAUGCAUUACCAAUCAAUCACACAGUUACACUUAGAAUCACAAUGCAUUACCAAUCACACAGUUACACUUAGAAUCACCAUGCAUUACCAAUCAAUCACACAGUUACACUUAGAAUCACAAUGCAUUACCAAUCAAUCACACAGUUACACUUAGAAUCACCAUGCAUUACCAAUCAAUCACACAGUUACACUUAGAAUCACAAUGCAUUACCAAUCAA